GGUCCGGGCGUUAUCCGGAUUUAUUGGGUUUAAAGGGAGCGCAGGCGGACGUUUAAGUCAGUUGUGAAAUACGGCGGCUCAACCGUACCUCGCCGUUGAAACUGGUGGCCUUGAGUGCACACAGGGAUGCUGGAAUUCGUCGUGUAGCGGUGAAAUGCUUAGAUAUGACGAGGAACUCCGAUCGCGAAGGCAGGUGUCCGGGGUGCCACUGACGCUGAGGCUCGAAGGUGCGGGUAUC
Molecule: ribosomal RNA, 238 nt
Filed under: uncultured bacterium
Lineage: Bacteria
Description: partial 16S ribosomal RNA
Rfam family: Bacterial small subunit ribosomal RNA
Source: RNAcentral